AAAAAAAAAAAGAAAAAAAAAUCAACACCAUGUGGUUUGGUUUUAACUCAAAAGUCAUUAAUCAAUUAAUGCUAUUAUUUUCUACUACAAGUCUACAGGUUCCCUCAUCUAUAUUUUUAGAAAAUAUUAUUAUUUUCUACAAGUUGCUACGCUUCUCUUUCUGAUAAAUUUGGACCUCAUUCGUCUAUUUGAUAACAAUUUAUAAAAUAUAAAAAUAUUCAAACUCAAAUAAUUUAAAAAAUAAGAAUUUAAUUAAGGGUCAACUCAAUUAUUUACUAAAAUUUGAUUUGAAAUUGAUCUAAUCAAUCUAAAUUAUGAACUAAAAAUUAAAUGAGUAAAAAUUAAUUUAAAAAACAAAAUAUUAAGCAGAAAUAAUCUUAAUUUACAAACUGAUC
This 395-nucleotide unclassified non-coding RNA is filed under the name Hevea brasiliensis (rubber tree). Lineage: Eukaryota; Viridiplantae; Streptophyta; Magnoliopsida; Malpighiales; Euphorbiaceae. The record is from RNAcentral.